UAACGACAGUGUGAGAAACAGAGCCAGCUUUCUUUGGAACUGUGGAAGAAGAGUGAGGGCAUCUUGAAAGUCUAAGGUUCUGGGGUGAAGAGAAAAGAGAGAAGCAGCAAACAGCACCAGAAAUCUUUGAUGAUCCUUUGCUUCAUGAACAAAGAGUGACUCUGUGAGACUCCCUGGGAUGCUACCAUUAUGAGAGGAGAUAAAAAUGAAGAGUGUGGUGUGACUGACACAUUCCUAAGUGCAUGGCUGAAUGUGUCCAGGAGAUGGCUGGAUUAAAGGAUGACUAUGCUGUGCUGCAGGACUCUGUUGUUCCUGUAAGGCUCACCUUGCUAGAAAGGAGCUAAGGUAACCUGGUCCUCUUGUGGAACACACAAGGGCAACUUAAGACCUGGAGGGGCUUUUACCCACUAACAACAUCAAGAGGCCUUUUACAACACGAGGUGGAGUUGGUAUUGGUCAGGACAGAGAAGUCACUCGCUGCCUCUGUUUAUCUUUCCAUUCUAAGGUGUCUUGCAUCCGUUCUUGGUUUGUGCACAGCUUUGGAGAACACGAGCUCUGGAUGUGAGCUGAAAGGUGGCUGGUAAAGAGGGCCUCCCCUCCCUGAGUUCUGGCUUCAGCAUCUGCCCACAGAUAUUUCCUGAAAUCUCAGGGAGCUCAGCCCGCACUGGCGAGAGAGUGUCCUCCCUGUUGGAUACAACUCAUCCCUGAGAUUAAGAGCAUCUGUCAACUGCAGGCACCAGACAAGUGAUGUGCAGAGAGAAGACUGAAAAAAAAAAAAAGAAGGAAACAGCAGCCAGAGAUUCUCUCUACAUCACCCUUCUCCCCUACGUCACUGGAAAUCCAAGGCUCAGAGAUGCGCUGGUUGGAACUUUCCAGUCUGCAGUCCCACCUGCCAUGGGCUAUAGAGGCAGAGGGACUGAGAGGGGCCAGGGAGGGCUCUUGCUUUCAUAGCAACCUUUCUUGUGAAGUUUCUGCCAGUGGUAGCAUCACUGAUCAAAUAUUCAUCAGACCAGCAAUGUGCCCAUCUCACUGAGCAAAGAUAAAAAUAAAUGACACACAUCUUCCUCCCAAGAAGCUCGUGGCCAAAUGCUUCAGUGCAAUAAGAUCUGAGCUAUUUGAAGGAUGUUUUCAGGACUGUAGGAGAAGUUGAUUUAGGAAGUUUCACAUUAAAAAGCCCUGCUCCCUCUUUUUUGAUACAUAAACAGCCAUAUUAAUCAUUAACAUUUACUGAUGCUUUCUCUGAAGUGGGCAAAGUUUUAAGUAGUUUAUGUGAAUUAACUCAGUUGAUCCUAUACUGAUCAAGACUCUAUUCUGGUGUGGAUAAGCAUGGACUAUAAUUAUUAUCCCCAUUUUAUAGAUAAGAAAAAAUCCCAGAGAUGCCAUGCAGCUUGCUCAUAGCACACAGUUUAUAAGUGGGGCAAAAUGGGAUUUGGACUUCAACAGUUUGGACUCAAAGACCUUAGUAACACAGGGGACCUGCUCAUCUGAACUUUCAGGGUUCUGUCUGGGGAAUUUUUGAGCAACUUCAGCUAAUGAUGUUGAGGUUGAUUUUGGCCCUUUGACUCCUUUCUGUACUCUGGUGAGUUGCAAGUUCUGAGUUUGGGUUGAUUUGCAGGGAAACUAAUUCAAUCUUAUGUGCAAGUACAACUGUAUGAUGGCUCUUUCUUGGCUUCCUGGGGAUCCCACUGUUGCUUUUAAGUGUGAUGAAUUUAUUCUGGUUUCAUAGGACAUCACUGGACCAACUAGCCAACCAUUUCCCUCAUAGGUGAGGGCUUUGAACUUUUUCAGAGUUUCACGGUUCACAAAAGCUUUUGUUCGCAAACAAUUUGGUUCAUAAACAGAAGUGUUUGGCAAAAUUUCAUUUUUGUUUUCAAACUCUACAUUGGGUGGGAAAGAUGGCUGUGGUCAUGUUUCCCACACAAACACAAAUGUCGCCAUCUUUUCCAAAAUUGUAGAACAAAUUAAGUUUGUGAACCGAGGUACCACUGUAUUAGAAAUGACAUCCCAUUACUUCUUUUUCCUAGAAAUGAGUCACCAUGUCCAGCCCACACUCAAAGGAGGGGGAAUUAUGGUUCCUCUUGAAUGGAGGAUCAUUAAAGACUUUGUUGGUAUCUCUUCUAAAACUGCUAGAGUAAUUUCACUCAGUUUCAAUUUGUCCUUUCCCUUGUAUUAUUAUUGGAUUUGUAUUUGUCUGGGCUGCACUGUUUAAAAAUGAAAAUUCUCUUCUCUUUUUUUUCCUUUUUCCCACCCUUGUAUCUCAGUACCCAACACACAGUUAUCACUUAAUAAAUAUUUAUUUAAUUAAUGAAUAAUCUUAAUUUAAAAAAAUCUUUGAUAAAAGAAGUCACAAUCAACUUUUGUAGAAUAUCAUUGAAUCUCAAUAUAUACAUGAACAUUCUUGCUGCUGGCCUUUUAAUUUCAGUUUGAGGGUAAGGCAUGGAGUCAGCAGUCCAUGAUUUUUUUCUUCAUUCAUUAAUCAAUCAUUUAUUGAGCACUUAUUCUAUGCUAAAAAGAGUGCCAGGUUCUGAGGAUGCAGAGAUUAAUAGCAUCCACAAUGCCUUUUAUAAAUUAAGAUGCCCAUGUUAAGUAUAUAAAGCAGUCUGGUGCUUUUUGAAUCAUCUUCAAACAUGAACGACAAUAGGCAGCUGUAUUAGAAUCAGACCCUUGAUAUUGAGUUUGCAGAAGCUGUUUUAUCAGCGCAGCAUGUUGCCCCAGCGAAGUGCAGUAUUUACAUUUCAUUCCAAAGUGGUUGUGCCAACAUCAAUCCUCUGGUUUUUGUACUUUUGGUCACUGUUUGCAAAUGUAUAAAAGGUUUUGUCAAAGGAGCUGGAUAAAGAUGGGAAGAGAAUGGCGUUACAUAUGACUAGCAGAGAUCGUAGAGUGGCUGAUGCUGGGAAGCAUUCUACUAAGGUCAGGGGGGCAUACGUGGAGAGCGAAGGUAAUGUGAAGAAAUGGAAUUGGGAACGAUGAAAUAGCAGCAAAGAUGGGCUUUAGCGGAAAUGAGUGCA
Long non-coding RNA from Heterocephalus glaber (naked mole-rat), 3008 nucleotides. The record is from Ensembl. Lineage: Eukaryota; Metazoa; Chordata; Mammalia; Rodentia; Bathyergidae.